GCGGGAGUGGUGAAAUUGGCAGACACGCAGGAUUUAGGUUCCUGUGCCGACAGGCGUGAGGGUUCGAGUCCCUUCUCCCGCAC
RNAcentral lists this transfer RNA (83 nucleotides) under Austwickia sp. TVS 96-490-7B. Its description in RNAcentral is "tRNA-Leu". It matches the Rfam family "tRNA". Rfam says of the family: Transfer RNA (tRNA) molecules are approximately 80 nucleotides in length. Their secondary structure includes four short double-helical elements and three loops (D, anti-codon, and T loops). Further hydrogen bonds mediate the characteristic L-shaped molecular structure. tRNAs have two regions of fundamental functional importance: the anti-codon, which is responsible for specific mRNA codon recognition, and the 3' end, to which the tRNAs corresponding amino acid is attached (by aminoacyl-tRNA synthetases). tRNAs cope with the degeneracy of the genetic code in two manners: having more than one tRNA (with a specific anti-codon) for a particular amino acid; and 'wobble' base-pairing, i.e. permitting non-standard base-pairing at the 3rd anti-codon position. Lineage: Bacteria; Bacillati; Actinomycetota; Actinomycetes; Micrococcales; Dermatophilaceae. The record is from RNAcentral.